RNAcentral lists this ribosomal RNA (820 nucleotides) under uncultured eukaryote. RNAcentral describes it as "SSU rRNA". It matches the Rfam family "Eukaryotic small subunit ribosomal RNA", at positions 629 to 1426 of the family's 1831-position model. The record is from RNAcentral.
CGGUGUUUAACUGGCGUGAUGUGGGACGUCCUACCCGGUGGGCUUAGCCUCGCGAGGGGCGGCCCAACUAAUAUCCCGUCGCGGUGCUCUUUACUGAGUGUCGAGUCGGGCCGGUACGUUUACUUUGAACAAAUUAGAGUGCUUAAAGCAGGCUAUCCUCGCCUGAAUACUGCGUGCAUGGAAUAAUGGAAUAGGACCUCGGUUCUAUUUUGUUGGUUUUCGGAACCCCGAGGUAAUGAUUAAUAGGGACAGAUGGGGGCAUUCGUAUUGCGACGUUAGAGGUGAAAUUCUUGGAUCGUCGCAAGACGGACAGAAGCGAAAGCAUUUGCCAAAAAUGUUUUCAUUAAUCAAGAACGAAAGUUAGAGGUUCGAAGGCGAUCAGAUACCGCCCUAGUUCUAACCAUAAACGAUGCCAGCUAGCGAUCCGCCGAAGUUCCUCCGAUGACUCGGCGGGCAGCUUCCGGGAAACCAAAGCUUUUGGGUUCCGGGGGAAGUAUGGUUGCAAAGCUGAAACUUAAAGGAAUUGACGGAAGGGCACCACCAGGAGUGGAGCCUGCGGCUUAAUUUGACUCAACACGGGAAACCUCACCAGGCCCAGACACCGGAAGGAUUGACAGAUUGAUAGCUCUUUCUUGAUUCGGUGGGUGGUGGUGCAUGGCCGUUCUUAGUUGGUGGAGCGAUUUGUCUGGUUAAUUCCGAUAACGAACGAGACUCUAGCCUGCUAAAUAGGCGUACCUUAUGGUAUCGCGAAGGCCCCCGGCUUCGGCCGGUGGGUUUUUACUACCAACGUACAAACAAAUCUUCUUAGAGGGACAGGCGG